GCUUGUGCGAGGUCACAGUAGCAGUAGCAGUAACAGCGCAUUUUCCUUCCAUCGGUAAACUGACUACCCCUAAAGACCGCAUGCAAGGAGACAGACCGAGACGGGGGACAUAGACGUGUCGGAAUCCUGCAGUUCGUCAGUGACAUCGUCGAAAACAAGAAAGUGAAAAAGUGAAAGUGAAAGUGGAAGUGAACAGAUAUGAACUCGACUUGAUAUGACUUGUAGUGCAUGAACAAGAGGAAUUUUGGGAAACUUUGUUUUUGUAGUGUGUUGUUUUUGUAGUGUGUGUAUAAUUUAUAUUUAAGUUUGAAAAUAAAUGGUUAAAGGUU
RNAcentral lists this long non-coding RNA (329 nucleotides) under Penaeus chinensis. Its description in RNAcentral is "uncharacterized LOC125046993". Lineage: Eukaryota; Metazoa; Arthropoda; Malacostraca; Decapoda; Penaeidae. The record is from RNAcentral.